This is a long non-coding RNA of Vollenhovia emeryi, 2360 nucleotides long. RefSeq lists it as uncharacterized. The record is from RefSeq and is a predicted model, not a curated record. NCBI's taxonomy places the organism in Eukaryota, Metazoa, Arthropoda, Insecta, Hymenoptera, Formicidae. The transcript is spliced from 5 exons.
CACAUUAGGUCAAAAUCACAUAUGAAAAUGAAUCAACAUCAGGUCAAAGUCACGUAUGAAAAUGAAUCAACAUCAGGCAAAGUCACGUAUGAAAAUCAGUCAACAUUAAUCAAUUUAAAACAGUAUUGAAGUGAAUUAACAAUGGAAAAAUAGGUUUUCUACGUCAUCUUGCACUAUCAUUCGCUCGUAGUGCGCUGAAUGUAACCAAUAUACAUAUAAGCGUCUGUAAUAUCGGAUAGCUGGCAUAUCAUUUCGUAAAAUGACAGUGGAAAGAACUGUGUAUUGAAUCUGACUAUUGUAUAGUAUUUUGUGAAUAUAAUAUCUGUUUCACUAUUUUGUAAAACUGUUUUCCUCUUGUCAUAGUCCACAUAUCAAACGCAAAUUAUUCCGUUUUGAUUAAUUAAUUUAUUUUGGAUGCGCUACACAUCCUUAUUAUCAAAGAAGGGAAAAGAAACAAAAGCGGCGUUAGAACUGAUAUAAAACGACAACUCCAUUAAUUGUAAAAUGCUGUUUAAUCCAUACAACGUUGCAGUUACGAAGAAAAACCCGAAGAGAUGAAAAGACGAAGAAAAAGUAACAUAGACUGUAUCCCGAUAUUCACAUAUACUGUUCCCUUACUGAAAAUCUGUAGUGUACGUGACAAACUGUAGAUUUUCAGUACUGACAGUAAAUAUCGGAACGCAGUCAUAAAAGUUUUAAUACGUAAAACAGCAAUAUUACGCACAUGUAAUGUGCGAAUGAUCAAAGGGACACAAUCGAUAUUAAAUUUCACAAAGAAUAACUUGCGAUACGUGGCGAGAAAUUCACAGAAUUUUGUUAUUAUUAGAAGUGACCUUAUCUCUCGUCUUAUCUGCACUGCAUUGCGUAUGAUGGAUCUCAAGUUACAUAUCACAUUGCAAAUCUGAAUCUGAUGAGUCUCGCUAACGAUAAACGCCACAACGUCUCUAGGAAACGUUCGCGAACGAAACUUUUAGAGAGAAGAAUGAAUAUUAUAUGUUAACAAGGUUGUAAUGCGGAAAUAAGAAAGAAGCAUUUCAAUAAAAUUCCAUCGAAAAAGAUGGAAGAUAGAAAUAUAGAUGACUCAGCUUUUCCGCAUACGAGGACAAUUUAAGAGCGCUAAUUUUCUUUAUAUAGAUCCAAAUAACUUGAUAAAGAAGUACUAAGGUUGAGAAACCGAAUAUUUCAUAAAAGGAAAGGAUAAAGUGUGAACUAUUUUGCGACGUUUAAGGGAUUCGUGAGGGACCCAGGUAUUCACAAAAAUACAAUACAAAAUAUGUGGAAAGGACGUCAGGUACAAAAACCCGUUGCCUCUCCCUAAUUUUUAUGAGUUCUGGGAUCAGCAUAGCUCUACUCUUGAAUGCAUUUCCAAUAUUAUGUGUAUAUGCAUUUUGAAUGAUAGAAAUGCAUAUAUAAUGCAUCUAAAAUGAAUAUUUUUAAAUAUUCUUUUGCAAACGCGCAUACGUUGGAUAAAGUAUACGUUUUUCAAUGUACUAAAUUAUACUUAGCAACAUAAAAAAUAUAUCUGUUUACAAAUAUUAGAUAAAUAGGCACAGCAUAAGUCGAUGGUCAGUCGAUGCGUUAUACAGGGUGGGCCAUUUUAAUCCGUACAAGAUAACAUCUCCUCAGUUUAUGAUAUCUCGAUAUCCUCGAUAGCCGUGGGCGGACCUUUUCAAACACGUCAUUGUGCUGUAACCCAAGGGGAGUGCUGUGACCACUUACAGAAAAAGAAAAUCGGCAAAUAUAAUCUCUUAAAGUUUUAUUUUAUUAAAACAACGCAGUUCUUUACAGUGCCUUUCUUAGGACCCCAAUUAUUAGUACCUAAAAUGGUUGGCUAAGAGGAUAUAAGUAACGAAGAUGAUAUAUAAUAAUUAUUUUAUUUAUAAUGGUUUCAUUUAAGACACAGAUAUUUUUUUAUGAUACUUAACUCAGUCACGUAAAUGUAUAAAAAAUAAUUUCUUAAUUUAAUCGUUAGUAUCAUGCAACAUAUAUUUUGUGUGUAUAGUAAAGUGUAUAAAAUAAUAUAUACAUUAUUUUAAUGAUUAAUAAGAACUAGAAAUGGUUCAGACUUGUGAACUUUGCGAAAUGGUGGUUCCCAUUAGACGUUUUUUAUUCUUUUCUUUUCUUUUUAAAUUUAUUAUUUUUAAACAUUUUGUUUGCCACUCGUGAUAUCUUUGAUUAAAUGACAUUUCUUCAAACCAAAUUAAGAUUAGUUAACUUAAACUCGACGCAAUACAGUGCACUGACGCUCAAACUUGGAUACAAGGCUCUUUUGACGUUUAAGACAAUACUUCAGAUGAUUUUGAAAUUAGAAUCGACUAUGAAUACCGGCCAUAGUCAGUGUGACAGGAUUUUAUAUCAAA